Vombatus ursinus (common wombat) is the source of this 2372-nucleotide long non-coding RNA. RefSeq lists it as uncharacterized. NCBI's taxonomy places the organism in Eukaryota, Metazoa, Chordata, Mammalia, Diprotodontia, Vombatidae. The record is from RefSeq and is a predicted model, not a curated record. The transcript has 8 exons.
CGCGGCAGCUCGAGUCCCGGGGCCAGGGGCUCUGCAGCUGCCUCCCUCGCUCGCUCCCUCCCUCGUCCGCCCGCCCGCGAUCUUCGUCUUCCUCGGCUGACAGUUACCGUUCCAAGUGACCCUGAUUCACCAUGUGCUGGGAUGGUGGUGUCAGGUCACAAAACUUCACCUGGAGUUUGCAGCUGGCUAAAAUAAGUAAGCUUACAUGCUGCGUUUUCCCAAGUUGGGAGAAAUAUUUAAUAGAGAUGGACUGAAGCUGAUCAUCUACCUCCACAAAUAGCAAGCAACAGAACCAACAUGGAGCAAGUACCACAUUUCUACAGGUUUUGACCUUUCUAUAGAGAACUGAUUCUGGAGAACAACUUAACUUCUGUGAUUGAAAACCCCUGUGUUCUACGUGAAAAGAGAUGGGAGAUUAAGGCUAUAACAGUUAACAUAGGCUGUACUGGUACUAUGUGAUAACAACUUGUUGGCCUCAAUUGAACAAGCAUUCUUGUCCCCUGAAGGAUGGACAAAUGGGCUGGAGAAUGAUUGUUAAGAGGAGGUUAUAUGACUGGUUAUUCAAAGAAAGAGGACUUUCCCGUUCUGAAUACAUGCCACCACUAUUCAUGGGUGGGAAAGAAUUGGUAGGAGUUUUUUAUCCAGGGCUUCAAGUGAGACUUCACAGUAUUUCUGAAGUAACUCUUAAGAGAGCUUGGUUCCUCUUUGGCUCACUGAAAAGGAUUCCUGCAUGCUGAGUCUGUGAUGCUACAAGGAAUCAUUUCAGAGAAUUACAAGGAUUCUUGUUGGCAUUGCCACUGUCCCAAGCUUUAAGUCUCAACUCUGCCUACCUGGAUCUACACACAGUACCUGCUUGAUCUUCCCUGCCUUUGCUGAUCUCCUGGACUUUGCCUAUCUACAUGGACCCAUGGUACCUGCUUGUUCCUCCCUGCCUUUGCUGAUCUCCUGGAUUCUGGACUUUUGUUUUUCUACUGGAACUGAUUUGCUCCUCCCUAUAUUAAUUGAUCCUACUCUGUCCUUAACCCCUUGCCUGCCUAUACUUUUGGUAUCUAGCGAAUGCCGGUGGAUUAACUGAAUACCCUUCCCUGCCCUCUCCUGCCUACCACAUUCCAUGACACCCAAGCCCCCCUGCAUGACAGUGGGAAUUUAUUGGCUUUAAAAAAAUAAUAAAUAUGAUAAGAAAAGUGCCUGUCAUUAUAGAAUUCAUUUUCUUUUUAAAGCUUAAAUUCAUUAUUUUUAAAUCUCCCUAAAAUUAACUAGACCUCCUAAUGUGACUUUUAGCUGCCCUCUCCUCCCCAUUUUGUAGUCAAGUAUAUAGCAUAAGAUAUGUUUUGAGCAGGAUUCUGUAAUAUUCAUGAAGCCAUGAUGCUUUCUAGAGGGACAAAGUUCAUGUCUUAGGCUUCCUUUACAUAUCCUACAAGGUACAAUGUUAACACAUUAGGAGAUUUUUCAGUAAAUACCACUUUGGUCUGCAUAUAAGUUGUACUUUCCCAAAAAAUCAGACAAAACCUGAGUGUGGUUUAUAUCUUAGUGAGAACAUAUUAUUAGUAAGAUAUCUAGACUUGUUCUAUAAUUUCAUUAGUAUUGGGAACUCCCUCUGUUAGAUGCAGGUUGGCCUCUGCAGCUAGAAGACUGAGAUGAAGUCUAUGACCCUUCUUUCCCAGGGUCCCACAGCCAGCAUGUAUGAGGGACAGGACUUGAACCUGGGCCUUCUUCGCACACUGUCCACUAUACCAAGCUGUUGUUAGUGAGAGAAUUCAAUAAAAGUGACAAAGAUGGAAGGAAAAUCAAAAUGAGCAAAGUAAAUAAAUAAUUGUAUUUGAAUAGAAGGAAAUGUUUUUUAAAAAACCUUUCAUAGUAAAGAUUUUAAUACAAUAAUUUUGUAUAACUGUUAUUGAAUUUUUGCCAAUUCUUUUUUAAAAUCUCAUUUUAAGAAGCCAGUCUUUAUUUGAGUCCAGCCUAUAUUCUGAUAAAUAUGGUACAAGUUCAAUGGAAUUGAACUAGAGACCAGUUCAAGGAGAUAUGAGGAUGAGGUGAUGAGUUGUAUUCUAAUCUCAACUUUAAAUUUUGCCUGGAACUGCCUCUGGUAUUAAACUGCCAGAGCCAAAUCUGAAUGAAAAUCCUUUUUGUUCCAAACCUUUUACUAUUCAAGCCGCAUUUCCUAUUGUGCCCUUGAUGAAAAUGUAAUAUGAAAUGUUUCUGUAUGACAAUUAUGAAGAAUUUUUAUUUAUUCAUGUUUCCAUAGUUAUCACAUAAUUUGUCUUCAUAAAAUGUUUAUGCUCAUUCAUUAUUGUACUUUAUUUGAGGUAAGGGACUGUGUCUUAGUUCAUCUUUGUAUCCCUGAUGCCUGGCACAGUGCUUUGAAUUACUGU